GCACAAGCGGUGGAGCUAUGUGGUUUAAUUCGAAGCAACGCGAAGAACCUUACCAGGUCUUGACAUCCCUGACAACCCGAGAGAUCGGGCGUUCCCCUUCGGGGGACAGGGUGACAGGUGGUGCAUGGUUGUCGUCAGCUCGUGUCGUGAGAUGUUGGGUUAAGUCCCGCAACGAGCGCAACCCUCGACCUUAGUUGCCAGCAUUCAGUUGGGCACUCUAAGGUGACUGCCGGCUAAAAGUCGGAGGAAGGUGGGGAUGACGUCAAAUCAUCAUGCCCCUUAUGACCUGGGCUACACACGUGCUACAAUGGGCGGUACAAAGGGCAGCGACACAGCGAUGUGAAGCCAAUCCCGAAAAGCCGGUCUCAGUCCGGAUUGGAGUCUGCAACUCGACUCCAUGAAGUUGGAAUCGCUAGUAAUCGUGGAUCAGCACGCCACGGUGAAUACGUUCCCGGGCCUU
This 460-nucleotide ribosomal RNA is filed under the name uncultured Anoxybacillus sp. RNAcentral describes it as "bacterial SSU rRNA". It matches the Rfam family "Bacterial small subunit ribosomal RNA", at positions 923 to 1382 of the family's 1533-position model. The record is from RNAcentral. Lineage: Bacteria; Bacillati; Bacillota; Bacilli; Caryophanales; Anoxybacillaceae.